UUAAGCGAAUAAGCGUACACGGUGGAUGCCUAGGCAAUCAGAGGCGAUGAAGGACGUGCUAAUCUGCGAAAAGCGUCGGUAAGGUGAUAUGAACCGUUAUACCCGACGAUAUCCGAAUGGGGAAACCCAGUAUCCAAUGGAUACUAUCAUUAACUGAAUCCAUAGGUUAAUGAGGCGAACCGGGAGAACUGAAACAUCUCAGUACCCCGAGGAAAAGAAAUCAACCGAGAUUCCCCUAGUAGCGGCGAGCGAACGGGGAGCAGCCCAGAGUCUUAAUCAAUAGCAGUGUCAGGAGAACGGUCUGGAAAGUCCGGCAGUAAAGGGUGAUAGCCCCGUAUCUGAAGAUGUUGUUAUUGUGAACUCGACGAGUAGGGCGGGACACGUGUUAUCCUGUCUGAAUAUGGGGGGACCAUCCUCCAAGGCUAAAUACUCCUGAUUGACCGAUAGUGAACCAGUACCGUGAGGGAAAGGCGAAAAGAACCCCGGCGAGGGGAGUGAAAAAGAACCUGAAACCGUGUACGUACAAGCAGUAGGAGCCUCUUUAUGGGGUGACUGCGUACCUUUUGUAUAAUGGGUCAGCGACUUAUAUUCUGUAGCAAGGUUAACCGUAUAGGGGAGCCGUAGGGAAACCGAGUCUUAACUGGGCGAAUGAGUUGCAGGGUAUAGACCCGAAACCCGGUGAUCUAUCCAUGGGCAGGUUGAAGGUUGGGUAACACUAACUGGAGGACCGAACCGACUAAUGUUGAAAAAUUAGCGGAUGACUUGUGGAUGGGGGUGAAAGGCCAAUCAAACCGGGAGAUAGCUGGUUCUCCCCGAAAGCUAUUUAGGUAGCGCCUCGUGAACUCAUCUUCGGGGGUAGAGCACUGUUUCGACUAGGGGGUCAUCCCGACUUACCAACUCGAUGCAAACUGCGAAUACCGAAGAAUGUUAUCACGGGAGACACACGGCGGGUGCUAACGUCCGUCGUGAAGAGGGAAACAACCCAGACCGCCAGCUAAGGUCCCAAAGUCAUGGUUAAGUGGGAAACGAAGUGGGAAGGCUCAGACAGCCAGGAUGUUGGCUUAGAAGCAGCCAUCAUUUAAAGAAAGCGUAAUAGCUCACUGGUCGAGUCGGCCCGCGCGGAAGAUGUAACGGGGCUAAACCAUGCACCGAAGCUGCGGCAGCGACACAAAGUGUUGUUGGGUAGGGGAGCGUUCUGUAAGCCUGCGAAGGUGUACUGUGAGGUAUGCUGGAGGUAUCAGAAGUGCGAAUGCUGACAUAAGUAACGAUAAUGCGGGUGAAAAACCCGCACGCCGGAAGACCAAGGGUUCCUGUCCAACGUUAAUCGGGGCAGGGUGAGUCGACCCCUAAGGCGAGGCUGAAAAGCGUAGUCGAUGGGAAACGGGUUAAUAUUCCCGUACUGGUGGUAACUGCGAUGGGGGAACGGAGAAGGCUAGGUUGUCCGGGCGACGGUCGUCCCGGUUCAAGCAGGUAGGCAGAGUGAUUAGGCAAAUCCGGUCACUUAAUGCUGAGAUGUGAUGACGAACCACUAAGGUGGUGAAGCAAUUGAUGCCCCGCUUCCAGGAAAAGCCUCUAAGCUUCAGGUUACCAACAAUCGUACCCCAAACCGACACAGGUGGUCAGGUAGAGAAUACUCAGGCGCUUGAGAGAACUCGGGUGAAGGAACUAGGCAAAAUGGUGCCGUAACUUCGGGAGAAGGCACGCUGGCGGUAGGUAAAGUCCCUUGCGGACGGCGCUGAAGCCAGUCGAAGAUACCAGCUGGCUGCAACUGUUUAUUAAAAACACAGCACUGUGCAAACACGAAAGUGGACGUAUACGGUGUGACGCCUGCCCGGUGCUGGAAGGUUAAUUGAUGGGGUCAGCCGCAAGGCGAAGCUCCUGAUCGAAGCCCCAGUAAACGGCGGCCGUAACUAUAACGGUCCUAAGGUAGCGAAAUUCCUUGUCGGGUAAGUUCCGACCUGCACGAAUGGCGUAAUGAUGGCCAGGCUGUCUCCACCCGAGACUCAGUGAAAUUGAACUCGCUGUGAAGAUGCAGUGUACCCGCGGCAAGACGGAAAGACCCCGUGAACCUUUACUAUAGCUUGACACUGAACAUUGAGCCUUGAUGUGUAGGAUAGGUGGGAGGCUUUGAAGUGUGGACGCCAGUCUGCAUGGAGCCAACCUUGAAAUACCACCCUUUAACGUUUGAUGUUCUAACCUAGGCCCAUAAACUGGGUCGGGGACCGUGUCUGGUGGGUAGUUUGACUGGGGCGGUCUCCUCCUAAAGAGUAACGGAGGAGCACGAAGGUUGGCUAAGCAUGGUCGGACAUCAUGCGGUUAGUGCAAAGGCAUAAGCCAGCUUGACUGCGAGAGUGACGGCUCGAGCAGGUACGAAAGUAGGUCUUAGUGAUCCGGUGGUUCUGAAUGGAAGGGCCAUCGCUCAACGGAUAAAAGGUACUCCGGGGAUAACAGGCUGAUACCGCCCAAGAGUUCAUAUCGACGGCGGUGUUUGGCACCUCGAUGUCGGCUCAUCACAUCCUGGGGCUGAAGUAGGUCCCAAGGGUAUGGCUGUUCGCCAUUUAAAGUGGUACGCGAGCUGGGUUUAGAACGUCGUGAGACAGUUCGGUCCCUAUCUGCCGUGGGCGUUGGAAGAUUGAGAGGGGUUGCUCCUAGUACGAGAGGACCGGAGUGAACGCACCACUGGUGUUCGGGUUGUCAUGCCAAUGGCAUUGCCCGGUAGCUAAGUGCGGAAGAGAUAACCGCUGAAAGCAUCUAAGCGGGAAACUUGCCUCGAGAUGAGUCUUCCCUGUCGCUUUAAGCGACCUAAAGGAACGUUUAAGACUAAGACGUUGAUAGGCUGGGUGUGUAAGCGUAGCGAUACGUUGAGCUAACCAGUACUAAUGAACCGUGAGGCUUAACCUG
Molecule: ribosomal RNA, 2901 nt
Filed under: Proteus mirabilis
Lineage: Bacteria; Pseudomonadati; Pseudomonadota; Gammaproteobacteria; Enterobacterales; Morganellaceae
Description: bacterial LSU rRNA
Rfam family: Bacterial large subunit ribosomal RNA
Source: RNAcentral